This 224-nucleotide ribosomal RNA is filed under the name uncultured bacterium. RNAcentral describes it as "partial 16S ribosomal RNA". It matches the Rfam family "Bacterial small subunit ribosomal RNA", at positions 15 to 216 of the family's 1533-position model. The record is from RNAcentral.
GAUCCUGGCUCAGGACGAACGCUGGCGGCGUGCUUAACACAUGCAAGUCGAACGAGGAGCGAUGGAAGCUUGCUUCUAUCAAUCUUAGUGGCGAACGGGUGAGUAACGCGUAAUCAACCUGCCCUUCAGAGGGGGACAACAGUUGGAAACGACUGCUAAUACCGCAUACGAUCUGACCUCGGCAUCGAGGAUAGAUGAAAGGUGGCCUCUAUUUAUAAGCUAUC